Molecule: small nucleolar RNA, 107 nt
Organism: Humulus lupulus (European hop)
Lineage: Eukaryota; Viridiplantae; Streptophyta; Magnoliopsida; Rosales; Cannabaceae
Source: RefSeq, a predicted model, not a curated record
AUUCCAUGGUGGGGAUAUUUUCUUAACAACUCCCUAAACCUCUCCCACGCAUCAUACAAUGACUCACCACCUCUUUGGUGAAAUUUUUUGAUUUCACCUCUAUACCU